UGGUUAGCUCAGUUGAAAGAGCGCUCCACUGGAAAUGGAGAGGUUCCUGGUUUGAUACCGGGACCA
This 66-nucleotide transfer RNA is filed under the name Ixodes scapularis (black-legged tick). It matches the Rfam family "tRNA". From Rfam's summary of the family: Transfer RNA (tRNA) molecules are approximately 80 nucleotides in length. Their secondary structure includes four short double-helical elements and three loops (D, anti-codon, and T loops). Further hydrogen bonds mediate the characteristic L-shaped molecular structure. tRNAs have two regions of fundamental functional importance: the anti-codon, which is responsible for specific mRNA codon recognition, and the 3' end, to which the tRNAs corresponding amino acid is attached (by aminoacyl-tRNA synthetases). tRNAs cope with the degeneracy of the genetic code in two manners: having more than one tRNA (with a specific anti-codon) for a particular amino acid; and 'wobble' base-pairing, i.e. permitting non-standard base-pairing at the 3rd anti-codon position. The record is from Rfam by way of RNAcentral. Lineage: Eukaryota; Metazoa; Arthropoda; Arachnida; Ixodida; Ixodidae.